Eriocheir sinensis (Chinese mitten crab) is the source of this 213-nucleotide long non-coding RNA. RefSeq lists it as uncharacterized. Lineage: Eukaryota; Metazoa; Arthropoda; Malacostraca; Decapoda; Varunidae. The record is from RefSeq and is a predicted model, not a curated record. The transcript has 4 exons.
UGGGCCGCGGGCCGCCAGGGGGCCCUGCAGGAGGCGUGCCGCGCGCCAUAUUGUCUUGGCCACUUGUUGUUUUCACAGUCCGCGCGCUGUUCCCCGUGUUUUGUGCAAGCUUUCCUCCUCUCCCUCAGCACCAGCAAUGAUGAACGGUGAAAACGACGACGUUGGAGGCUACCUGAACCCUGGAACAAAGGUGAGUGUCGCUGUGGCUUGGCG